CAAUGAUAUUGUUGAUAGAUAUCAUAAUAUUUUUCACUAUCAGACAGAAUAGAACCUGUGGGAUCACAUGCAAGAAGCUGUAUCUAAUCAAAUAGUUGGAUUUAAUUUGAUAUGUCAAAGAGUUGACAUGAUCAAACCCAAAGGUAAUUGGACUCCUUAUAAGAUAAAAAUUUUGAUUUGAUCAAAGUCCAAGACCCUUGGGACUCUAUCCGUUAAAAUGUGAUUGACGAGUAGAAGGACUCUUCUCCCCAUG
RNAcentral lists this long non-coding RNA (253 nucleotides) under Elaeis guineensis (African oil palm). RNAcentral's name for it is "long non-coding RNA (EGUI_LNC033413)". Lineage: Eukaryota; Viridiplantae; Streptophyta; Magnoliopsida; Arecales; Arecaceae. The record is from RNAcentral.